GUGACUCGGUGACGGUGCGAUUAUAACGCGAGGACGUGACUCGGUGACGGUGGGAUUAUAACGCGAGGACGUGACUCGGUGACGAUGGGAUUAUAAGCGAGGACGUGACUCGGUGACGGUGGGAUUAUAAAGCGAGGACGUGACUCGGUGACGGCGGGAUUAUAAAGCGAGGACGUGACUCGUGACGGCGGGAUUAUAAAGCGAGGACGUGACUCGGUGACGGCGGGAUUAUAAAGCGAGGACGUGACUCGGUGACGGCGGGAUUAUAAAGCGAGGACGUGACUCGGUGACGGCGGGAUUAUAAAGCGAGGACGUGACUCGGUGACGGUGGGAUUAAAAAGCGAGGACGUGACUCGGUGACGGUGGGAUUAUAAAGCGAGGACGUGACUCGUAACGGUGGGAUUAUAACGCGAGUGCGUUCACUAGAAAGAUCUGUUUACAAUCCACUAGUGAACUUGAAAUCGACUGACAGACAUGAGAAUGAGCGAGCGGUGCGUGUCGGGAAGACACGGCGUCAGCGUGUUGGACUCGGACGUCCACUCGAGUAAUAACGCCGCGUCGGCGGUGUAAAAAAGUCGAGUGUUUGCUCAUCGAAACGCAGGAUCAUCCGCUCCGUGCGUUUAGAUCGGACACUCGCUCUUCACCUCUCCUACACUCGCCACCUUUCCCUCUUCACCUCUCACCGUAUCUUUUCUCGCAACCCUCCACUAACAGCCCGUUACUCUGGGAAGGAAAAAGGAAAUAAAGUCUCAGAUCACGAAUCUGCACCGUUCCGUGCAAAAGACCGGCUGGAGAGAAGAUGUAAUAAAGAAGACAUUAUACGAACAGACAUUAUCGUUAAGCCACGCCAUGAACGACGUUAUCUUCGAUUAAAUAUACGGAAACAGAAAAGGAACGUGAUAAAAAAAAAAAGCACGCGUCUCAGUAAACCGGUGGGCCGAGGCCACACUCUCUGGAUCAUCAGACUUUAGAAGAUCGCAUCUAAAGCCGUCACCAUGAUGUACGAUUUUGGCUAUGAACGUUUUUUAGCACAUAGCACCGUUCCCAUUCUCUCUUUAAGGACUAUUGGGCUUUAAUGAAACAGAAAAAGGGGUUGUUGGGACAAACAGAAGAGAGAGAGAGAGAGAGAGAGAGAGAGAGAGAGAGAGAGAGAGAGAGAGAGAGAGAGCGCAAUCUUUC
Molecule: long non-coding RNA, 1179 nt
Organism: Ictalurus punctatus (channel catfish)
Lineage: Eukaryota; Metazoa; Chordata; Actinopteri; Siluriformes; Ictaluridae
Source: Ensembl